GUAACAAGGUCUCCGUUGGUGAACCAGCGGAGGGAUCAUUACAGAGUUACUACUCCAAACCCAUUGUGAACCUUACCUAUGUUCUGUUGCCUCGGCGGCGUCGGUCAGCGCCCCUCUGAAAAGAGGACGAUGCCCCUCCCGCCGGCAGCACCAAACUCUUGAAUUUUACAGCGGAUUACAGUUCUGAUUUGAAAACAAAAAACAAGUUAAAACUUUCAACAACGGAUCUCUUGGUUCUGGCAUCGAUGAAGAACGCAGCGAAAUGCGAUAAGUAAUGUGAAUUGCAGAAUUCAGUGAAUCAUCGAAUCUUUGAACGCACAUUGCGCCCGGCAGUAAUCUGCCGGGCAUGCCUGUCCGAGCGUCAUUUCAACCCUCGAACCUCCGUUUCCUUAGGGAAGCCUAGGGUCGGUGUUGGGGCGCUACGGCGAGUCCUCGCGACCCCCGUAGGCCCUGAAAUACAGUGGCGGUCCCGCCGCGGUUGCCUUCUGCGUAGUAAGUCUCUUUUGCAAGCUCGCAUUGGGUCCCGGCGGAGGCCUGCCGUCAAACCACCUAACAACUCCAGAUGGUUUGACCUCGGAUCAGGUAGGGUUACCCGCUGAACUUAAGCAUAUCAAUAAGCGGAGGAAAAGAAACCAACAGGGAUUGCCUCAGUAACGGCGAGUGAAGCGGCAACAGCUCA
RNAcentral lists this unclassified non-coding RNA (679 nucleotides) under Scedosporium apiospermum. RNAcentral describes it as "sequence contains 18S rRNA gene, ITS1, 5.8S rRNA gene, ITS2, 28S rRNA gene". The stretch from base 211 to 364 matches the Rfam family "5.8S ribosomal RNA". Lineage: Eukaryota; Fungi; Ascomycota; Sordariomycetes; Microascales; Microascaceae. The record is from RNAcentral.